Long non-coding RNA from Hyaena hyaena (striped hyena), 912 nucleotides. RefSeq lists it as uncharacterized. The record is from RefSeq and is a predicted model, not a curated record. NCBI's taxonomy places the organism in Eukaryota, Metazoa, Chordata, Mammalia, Carnivora, Hyaenidae. The transcript has 3 exons.
GGAGCCCUCGCCGCCGGCAGGAGACACCUCGGUGCCGAGAGCCCGGCGCGGCACCUGUGAUAGCAAAAUCCUUGUGUUGUGUUAUAAACCUCCGUCGGGCCUGUCGUCGUCUGUUUGGGCUGCUGUGACAAAACACCACAGUUUGGAUGGCUAACCCACGGACCCCCGGGACUCUGAGGUCAGGCCAUGCCCAGGUUCAGGGCCCGGCCACCUCCCCGGCUCCCAGGCCCCUCCCGGAGGCGGCGGCACCUGCCCCAGGGCUUAGGGGCCUCUGCAGCCUCUUUGAAAAGGACUGGAGUCCCCUUCUUGCGUGUCACUCUUAGGGACCCAGCGCCCCCACCUCCUAACACUGGCCCGCGAAGGGUCAGGCUCCGCAACCCCUCAGACCAGGUUCUUCCCACUGCUGGCCCGGCUCCUCACGCCUCCUUCUACCCUGGCUGGUCCCCCCGGAGUCACACGCCUGUUAGUGUUUCCCAGCAAAUAACUAUUUCCGGUAAACCCGUAAGUUCCAAGCGUGGCUCAGCUGAUACAUAGUCUGUUUCCAUCUGGUUCACGUGGGCUAUGAUGCCCGUUUUGAUUUCUGCUGUGACCCGUGAGUUAUUUAGAAAAAAUAUUUCUUUAUUUUCAAACGCAGUAUUUUCUGGGUUUUUGUUAACAGUUUAAAGCAUAACUGCAUUGUGAUUGGAGGACCAGCCUGUGUGAUUUGUUUUGUCUGUUGAUGAUGUAAUUACGUAAGAUUCAUUGUUUCAAAGAUUCCAUGACUUGCCGUCACCCAUUGUUUUGCUCCAACCUUCAUGUAGCCUCAGGGGUCAAGUGUACCUCUGUGAGCAGCAUGUACUGGGUAUUUUCAAAACUACCCAGACCAACUUUGUGCUUUCAUUGGAACAUUAAAUCCAUUUACAUGUAAUAAAA